RNAcentral lists this transfer RNA (84 nucleotides) under Acidobacteriota bacterium. Its description in RNAcentral is "Acidobacteria bacterium tRNA-Leu". It matches the Rfam family "tRNA". Rfam says of the family: Transfer RNA (tRNA) molecules are approximately 80 nucleotides in length. Lineage: Bacteria; Pseudomonadati; Acidobacteriota. The record is from RNAcentral. RNAcentral also lists the same sequence under 1 other name.
GCCAGUAUGGCGGAAGUGGUAGACGCGCCUGAUUUAAAACCAGGUGCCGGAAAUGGCGUGCGAGUUCGAUUCUCGCUGCUGGCA